GCAUGCAGGGGCCAUUGUGACAUAUAGCCAUGCCAAUUGCCUAGGUGAAGUUUGUCUCCUCUCUUGCCUAAGCCCUUUCUACAGCGGGGAUUUAGAUGUAUCACCGAAACAAGCCUCCAGGUGAUGUGACUCUUCUUCCAGAGUCCUGCCCACAAGGAGGAUUGUGACAUUUCACUGGACCAGCACCCACUCAGACUCUGCCAAAAGGGGAUUAUUACAUACUGCAGAGCCCAGCACCCAGGUGGUUUGGUAACAUUUGAACCGUGAUUCAGCACACCUGUGGUGCUGUGACUCCCUUAAUGGAACACAAUCUUCAAGUGUGUUUGGGCAUCUUAUACAUGGAACUUGCCCAUUGUGGAGACUGUGACUCCUCUACUUCGACCCAACUCAUAGAAAAUGUUGACUCACAUACACGAAACCAGGACUCAUGUCGGAUGUGAAACUUAUUUCUGAACUUUUCAGAGUGUGAUUGGGACAGGUAACUUUGCCCAGCACAUGAAUAAUUUGACUCUCUUUUCUAGGCCCAGACCAUAGAUUUAAUUGUGCCAUGUUUGGAACAAGCACCUAAGCAAUAUAUAACACUUUCAUGGCUUUGCCUACAAAGAGCACUUUCAUAUAUCACUGGACCCAUCACCGAGGUGAUAGGAAUUAUCUGCAAAAAACCUUCCUAAAAAGAAAAUUAUGUCUUUUACAU
Molecule: long non-coding RNA, 694 nt
Filed under: Homo sapiens (human)
Lineage: Eukaryota; Metazoa; Chordata; Mammalia; Primates; Hominidae
Description: HSALNT0346435
Source: RNAcentral